RNAcentral lists this transfer RNA (62 nucleotides) under Cavia porcellus (domestic guinea pig). It matches the Rfam family "tRNA". Rfam says of the family: Transfer RNA (tRNA) molecules are approximately 80 nucleotides in length. Their secondary structure includes four short double-helical elements and three loops (D, anti-codon, and T loops). Further hydrogen bonds mediate the characteristic L-shaped molecular structure. tRNAs have two regions of fundamental functional importance: the anti-codon, which is responsible for specific mRNA codon recognition, and the 3' end, to which the tRNAs corresponding amino acid is attached (by aminoacyl-tRNA synthetases). tRNAs cope with the degeneracy of the genetic code in two manners: having more than one tRNA (with a specific anti-codon) for a particular amino acid; and 'wobble' base-pairing, i.e. permitting non-standard base-pairing at the 3rd anti-codon position. The record is from Rfam by way of RNAcentral. Lineage: Eukaryota; Metazoa; Chordata; Mammalia; Rodentia; Caviidae.
GGGGGUUUAGCUCAGUGGCAUAAGCACCUGCCUUGCAAGCAGGCGGUCGAGUUCGAUCCCCG